GGGCCUCUAGCUCAGUUGGUAGAGCCGCGGACUUUUAAUCCGUAGGUCGUGGGUUCGAGCCCCACGGGGCCCA
Molecule: transfer RNA, 73 nt
Filed under: Corynebacterium sphenisci
Lineage: Bacteria; Bacillati; Actinomycetota; Actinomycetes; Mycobacteriales; Corynebacteriaceae
Also listed under: 1 other name
Description: tRNA-Lys
Rfam family: tRNA
About the family: Transfer RNA (tRNA) molecules are approximately 80 nucleotides in length.
Source: RNAcentral